AACGAACGCUGGCGGCAUGCCUAACACAUGCAAGUCGAACGAGACCUUCGGUUCUAGUGGCGCACGGGUGCGUAACGCGUGGGAACCUGCCCUUAGGUUCUGUAUAACUCCCCGUAAGGGGUGCUAAUACCGGUUAAUGUCUUCGGACCAAAGAUUUAUCGCCUUUGGAUGGGCCCGCGUUGGAUUAGCUAGUUGGUAGGGUAAAAGCCUACCAAGGCGACGAUCCAUAGCUGGUCUGAGAGGAUGAUCAGCCACACUGGGACUGAGACACGGCCCAGACUCCUACGGGAGGCAGCAGUGGGGAAUAUUGGACAAUGGGCGAAAGCCUGAUCCAGCAAUGCCGCGUGAGUGAUGAAGGCCUUAGGGUUGUAAAGCUCUUUUACCCGGGAUGAUAAUGACAGUACCGGGAGAAUAAGCUCCGGCUAACUCCGUG
RNAcentral lists this ribosomal RNA (433 nucleotides) under uncultured bacterium. Its description in RNAcentral is "partial 16S ribosomal RNA". It matches the Rfam family "Bacterial small subunit ribosomal RNA", at positions 29 to 507 of the family's 1533-position model. The record is from RNAcentral.